Vombatus ursinus (common wombat) is the source of this 758-nucleotide long non-coding RNA. RefSeq lists it as uncharacterized. NCBI's taxonomy places the organism in Eukaryota, Metazoa, Chordata, Mammalia, Diprotodontia, Vombatidae. The record is from RefSeq and is a predicted model, not a curated record. The transcript is spliced from 4 exons.
ACCAAUACCCAAGGAUUUCACUCUUCAAGUUAAUGGAAAUGAGACGUAUUCUACAGGCAGUUGGCAAGAUACUUUUGACAAAUGUUGACUGGAGAACUGGCAGUCCUGGGAAAUCAAUUAUCCCCAUCUCUCUGAACAGUUUUCCAUUAGGUUAUGCCAUACGUAAAUAAUGAGAAGACUGAAGAGGAUCCUGAACUCUCCGGAGAGCUUCAGUCAGCAAUCACACCUACCACUUCUGGAGAAGAAAACAGAAAGAAUUUUAAAACCUUAGAGAAGAAGAUCUCUGCAGUUUGGGACAAAGAGGGAAGAAGCAGUGUAUUAAUCUAUCAACUAACAACAACAAUUAUGAUCUUUGUGCCUUGCAUCGAUAUAAUACUUCUACAUGUUAAACUCUUUCACAUCUGGGAUCUCACUUCAUCUUCGCAACAACCCUGUGCAGAAUGAAAGGCAAAUGUUAUUAUCCCCAUUAUAUGAGGUGUAAUGUGACUGAAGUUUUAAAAAAUCCCAUAACUUUACAGAAUCAUGAAACCUCAAAUUUGGAAGGUACCUCAGAGGCCGUUGACUCCAACCCAUGCUCAAACAGGAAUCACCUUUACAACAUCCCCGAGAAAUGGUUCGUCAGUCUUGGCUCAAAGGCCUCCAGUGAUGGAGAAUCCACUCACUACAUUCUGAAGGAGUUUAUGCCAUUUGGGGGUAACUCUAAUUAUUUAGAAGUUUUUCCCUGUAUUGGGCCAAAAAUCUCCCUCUCUGUAACUUUG